AUGGCUUACUAUUCAGAUCAUCAGGCUUAUGCGAGCAACACUACAAACAGCAUGGAAAGUAUUCAAGAACUGAUAAGUAAGAUUUCCCAUCAAUUAGAUGAUUUAGCUCAGCAGCGAGGAGUAGUUUUUGAGGAUAGGCCUAGUUCUUAUUAUCCUUAUUCCGGAGGCAAUCCUUAUGUUGCUCCUACAUGCCAUAUUUGUGGAUUUCAGGGCCAUUUGCCCGCUGAAUGUCAGCGUGGUUACUCUCACACUCCAGAUUGUUUUGGCAUGAGCUUCGCUCAAGAGCAUAGCUCAUACCAAAACAAUUACUCACAUGGGUGGCCUGAAAACCCGAAUAUGUCAUAUAGGAGCAACAACCCUGAGAUCUCACUGUUUGCCUCUAGUUAUCCAAUGCAGGGAUUUAGGUAUGAAGAGGAGAGCCACAACUAUGCUCCACAACAGUCGUAUUUAGCUCCUAUUCAUAUACCUCAGCACCAGGAGAUGUUGCCAAUGGAGUUAAAUGGUCCUCCAUUUGGUCAACCAACACCUCAAGUGCCUACUCAAGAUGAGUUCGAUGACAUAGACAAGCUCGCACUUUUGAGUCUCGGGUUCACUUGGAGUGCCGAGGAUGAUCCUAUUAGGAAGGUUAUACUAGAUGAAAUGAAGAAGAUCAAGAGUGGGAAUGAGCUAGUGGAAGAAGUAAAGAAGAUUGAGAAGAACAUCAACGCUGGCAGUACUAUUUCUUCACAGCUUGAGCUGAGUAAUUCUGGGAUUCCCCUUGAUACAUGUGAGGUUCCAAUACCGUCACAUCCAGCUGAGCAAGAUAGCAAGUGCCUUGAGCAUGAGAUACCCCAGAUUGAAGAAGAUGAACUAGAAGACAAGGAACAAGAUGAUCAAGAUCUGCAAUUCCCAAGUGAUCAAGUUGAAGACUCGUCAUCUACUACUCCUGAAGAAGUACAAGAAGCUGCUGUAGAUGAAGAUGAAGAACCUGAGAUUCAUUGGCCUAUUGUCAUACAUGAGUGUGAUGUGUCAGGUUUACCCAAUCCUCUUGAUGACAUGCUCCCUUGUGAUUUCUUUGCUUCUAACUUGCAUUGCAUGAUGCCAUCACUUAAGGUAGAUUUGAAAAACUAUUUGCUUGGACAUGAUCAUACACACCCUGUUAGUGUCAUUACUCUCAUUUGUGAUGAUCACAGUUACUUUCCUCGUGCUAGUUCUAUGCUUAAUGAAACAUAUCAUUCCCAUGAUAGUCUGGAGCUUAAUGAUACAUAUCAUCCUCAUGUUAGCAUUGAGCUUACUGAUUUCUACCAUCCUAAACAUGUGCUUUAUAGCUAUGCUUAUGUAAUUGGAUAUUCGAUUGAUGACUUGGAGGGUAUUAUCCCUACCACUUGCAUUGUCUCUUUCAUUGAGUGCUCUUUCAGGUUCUUGCUUGUGCACGAUCCACUACAUGCUUGCCAAGUUCGAGAUGACAUUCCCUGGGACCCUGGUGGACCUAUGGCAUGGGGAUGA
This 1485-nucleotide ribosomal RNA is filed under the name Triticum aestivum (bread wheat). Its description in RNAcentral is "partial small subunit ribosomal RNA". The record is from RNAcentral. Lineage: Eukaryota; Viridiplantae; Streptophyta; Magnoliopsida; Poales; Poaceae.